Molecule: ribosomal RNA, 468 nt
Filed under: uncultured bacterium
Lineage: Bacteria
Description: partial 16S ribosomal RNA
Rfam family: Bacterial small subunit ribosomal RNA
Source: RNAcentral
GACGAACGCUGGCGGCGUGCUUAACACAUGCAAGUCGAACGGCAGCAUCGUGCUUUUGUGCUAUGCUCGAGUGGCGACCGGGUGAGGAACCCGAGAGUAAACUGACCUUGACUCUGGGAUAACUUCAGGAAACCGGGGGUAAUACCGGUAAGGAGUUCCUGCGGCAUGGUGGGGGUUGGAAAGUUGCGGCGGAUUGGGAUGUACUCGCGGCUUAUCAGCCUGUUGGUAGGGUAGUGGGUUACCAAGGGUCUGAGGGGUAGCCGGCCUGAGAGGGUGACCGGGCACAUGAGUACUGAGCUACGGCCCAGACUCGUACGGGAGGCAGCAGAAGGGAAUAUUGCACAAUGGGGCGAAGUCGGAUGAAGCAUCGCUGUGUGCUGGAUGAUGGCCUUCUUGUUGUAAACCGUUUUCGCCGGUGAGGAAGCCUGCGUGACGGUACCGGAUAAAGAAGCACCGGCUAACUACGUG